Long non-coding RNA from Hermetia illucens (black soldier fly), 417 nucleotides. RefSeq lists it as uncharacterized. Lineage: Eukaryota; Metazoa; Arthropoda; Insecta; Diptera; Stratiomyidae. The transcript is spliced from 2 exons. The record is from RefSeq and is a predicted model, not a curated record.
GAUCCGGUUAUUGAUGAAAUUCCCAUUUUGCAACCAAAAAAUCAUAUAAAUAUCUGGCAUCGGUAGGCUAGAGACAUCAUUCAGGAUUCUCCCGUCCCGAUUUUUACAAACAAACUCAAAAUGAAAUUCGUCGUUUUAGUUCUUGCUCUAAUCAGCGCUGUUUCUGCUGGAUACAUCGCUCCUUUCUUCUCCGGCUACUCUGCCUACUCGGCACCAGUUGUUAGCACCUACAGUGCCGCCCCAAUUGUAUCAUCACCUUAUGUGGCUCCAUACUAUGGAUAUGGUUAUGGAUAUUCUGCAUACCCAGCUUAUGGAGUCGAUUUUCUCAAGAAGAAGGCUUAAGGAACUCAUAUUUGACACAGUUUCUGACUAAGGAUUGAGAUUGGCUUAAUAAAAUGUUCAUAAAUAAAUAAUUAA